CACAUUGACUGUCUUGCCUUCCUUCUUAGGCGAGGACUCUUCACUCUUGCCUGCUCCAGCAUGGGGUCCUUUCCACAGGAGACAGUCCUCCAUGAACUUCUCCAAUGUGGGUCCUUCCCAUGGGCUGCAGUUCUUCCCAAACUGCUCCAGCAUGGGUCCAUUCCAUGGGGUGCAGUCCUUCGGGAACAGACUACGCCAGCCUGAGUCCCCUGUGAGGUCACAAGUCCUGCCAGCAAACCUGCUCCAGUGUGCACUCCUCUCUCCACGGAUCUGCAGGUCCUGCCAGGAACCUCCUCCAGCAUGGGCUUCCCCCAGGGUCACAGCCUCUUUUGGGCAUAUCCAAGGGCUGCAGGCCAUGGCUGCCCGAAUGUUCCUCUCUGUGGUGCGACACAUCCUCAUCCAGCGCCUGCAGGUGGUCGGUGAUGACCUGGAUGAGGCCACACGCGAGCGCAUGCAGCAGCGUGCAGAGAUGCUGAACCAGGAGAUGACUCGUCUGCUGCAGGAGAUGGAGCAGAAUGACAUGGCCCAGAGACACCUGCUCUUCACUACCAUCUGGCAGUGCUGGGCUGUAGCCCUUGUUGUGCUCUUGGGGCUGUGGUGGUGGCUCCGAUUUUUGAGAAAUCAUCAUAGAAUUGUAGAAUCCUAGAAUGGUUUGAUUGAAGGGACCUUAAAGAUCAUCUAGUUCCAAGCCCCCUGCCAUGAGCAGGGACACCUUUCACUAGACUAGAGGUUGCUCAAUGCCUCAUCCAACCUGGCCUUGAACGCUUCCAGGGAUGGGGCUUCCACAACUUCUCUGGGCAACCUGUUCCAGUGCCUCACCAUCCUCACAGUAAAGAGUUUCUUCCUAAUGGCUAAUCUAAAUACACCUUCCUUCUUAAA
This is a long non-coding RNA of Pseudopipra pipra, 879 nucleotides long. RefSeq lists it as uncharacterized. The transcript is spliced from 2 exons. NCBI's taxonomy places the organism in Eukaryota, Metazoa, Chordata, Aves, Passeriformes, Pipridae. The record is from RefSeq and is a predicted model, not a curated record.